Non-coding RNA from Xyrichtys novacula (pearly razorfish), 766 nucleotides. NCBI's taxonomy places the organism in Eukaryota, Metazoa, Chordata, Actinopteri, Labriformes, Labridae. The record is from the annotation of a GenBank genome assembly.
CCUGAUCGCCUUGCUGCCGGAUUGUGCUGUGUGCUCAGCUCGCUGCUCUUGGUAUGUUAAUCACAUACUUUAUUGUAUUGCUUUAAAAGUUUUGCGGUUGCCGCCAGGGUUGGCUUUUGUCUCCAACAGUUCCUCACUGGGUCUUCUCUCUCCUGCAUUGAACUUGAUCUCUCAUUGCGGGACCCAGAGUGUGUGUUCCUGCAUCCCCACACAGCUGGGGUUGAUCAGCUGAGUGGCUGUUGAUUGUUCUGUGGCGCUGCAGGUGCCUUUGUUAAGGCCGCCACUAUCGCCAUCUAACUUUGAUUCGACGGCGUUCUGCUUCAUGUGAGGUGACGUCAACACCCUUGGGACUAAGUUUUAUUUUAGUAACCUGUUGCCUCAGCUUCCUCAUUUUGUUGGCAUUUAGUUUAUUAUGGUUUAAAUCAUUUGUUAUUAUUUUGUGAUUUGUGUGUUUUUGUGUUUUGUUUCUCCGGUUGAGUACUUUGUUUUGUUAGUUAUUUGUAUUUGGUUUAUUUGCAUGUUUGUUUGGUUUGGUCAUUUCUAAAUAUUUUGAGUUAUUUUUCUUUUUUUUGCUUGCUAGUUUUCUUUAUUUUGGUAUUUGUGGUUUAUUUCUGAUUUAACCAGAAUUUGCUAUUUGCACAUCAAUUUUAUAGGCAACAUUGUUGCUAUAGUUAAGAGAAGUGUGUGUGUGCGUGUGUGUGUGUGUUUGUGUGUGAAUGAGUGUGGAUGAAUGAGUGGAAAAGAUUUUAUUAACUUUGUUUAUUGG